Molecule: unclassified non-coding RNA, 335 nt
Filed under: soil metagenome
Description: partial contains 5.8S ribosomal RNA, internal transcribed spacer 2, and large subunit ribosomal RNA
Rfam family: 5.8S ribosomal RNA (bases 1-120)
Source: RNAcentral
GAUGAAGAACGUGGCGAAAUGCGAUAAGUAAUGUGAAUUGCAGAAUUCAGUGAAUCAUCGAAUCUUUGAACGCACAUUGCGCCCGCCAGUAUUCUGGCGGGCAUGCCUGUUCGAGCGUCAUUUCAACCAUCAAGCCCCCGGCUUGUGUUGGGGACCUGCGGCUGCCGCAGGCCCUGAAAACCAGUGGCGGGCUCGCAAGUCACUCCGAGCGUAGUAAUACAUCUCGCUCAGGGCGUGCUGCGGGUUCCGGCCGUUAAAAAGCCUUAUUUACCCAAGGUUGACCUCGGAUCAGGUAGGAAGACCCGCUGAACUUAAGCAUAUCAAUAAGCGGAGGA